This 330-nucleotide ribosomal RNA is filed under the name Triticum aestivum (bread wheat). RNAcentral's name for it is "partial small subunit ribosomal RNA". Lineage: Eukaryota; Viridiplantae; Streptophyta; Magnoliopsida; Poales; Poaceae. The record is from RNAcentral.
AUGGAAAACUUAUCCUUCAAUUAUUUGCCUCAAUGCAAUAUGAUUACGAUUUAUUUAAAUCCUUCACAUGGAUGUCAAUUGGAAAGAUGUACUCCAAUAUCUAUAAGUUUGCAAGAGUGCUUGAACUGUAAGCCAACAAAAGUGCAGACUAUGAAACAAUUCAUUGCUCAGGCGUGGCGUCUUCUUCAGGCGGCGCGGUCUCGAUCAGAUUCAUAUGUCAUCUGGGGCAUGCCUCAGGAUUGUACGACCUGGAUGGAUCCAAUCCUCCUGCCAUGGUGGUCCUGUGGUGUCGAAGGUGGUCAUGGUGGUGCAGCUAGGCUCUUUUUCUGA